RNAcentral lists this ribosomal RNA (423 nucleotides) under bacterium. RNAcentral's name for it is "partial 16S ribosomal RNA". It matches the Rfam family "Bacterial small subunit ribosomal RNA", at positions 355 to 776 of the family's 1533-position model. The record is from RNAcentral.
UAGGGAAUUUUCGGCAAUGGGGGAAACCCUGACCGAGCAACGCCGCGUGAGUGAUGACGGCCUUCGGGAUGUAAAGCUCUGUUGUAAGGGAAGAACGGUAGAUAGAGAAUAUCUAAGUGACGGUACCUUACCAGAAAGCCACGGCUAACUACGUGCCAGCAGCCGCGGUAAUACGUAGGUGGCGAGCGUUAUCCGGAAUUAUUGGGCGUAAAGGGUGCGUAGGCGGCCUGUUAAGUAAGUGGUUAAAUUGUUGGGCUCAACCCAAUCCAGCCACCUAAACUGGCAGGCUAGAGGAUUGGAGAGGCAAGUGGAAUUCCAUGUGUAGCGGUAAAAUGCGUAGAUAUAUGGAGGAACACCAGUGGCGAAGGCGGCUUGCUAGCAAAAGACUGACGCUCAUGCACGAAAGCGUGGGGAGCAAAUAGG